UACGAACUGUGCGAACGUUAUUCGGAAUCACUGGGCUUAAAGGGUGCGUAGGCGGCUGCCUAAGUCAGGCGUGAAAUCUCUCGGCUCAACCGGGAAACUGCGCUUGAUACUGGGCGGCUCGAGUGAGGUAGGGGUGUGUGGAACUUCCGGUGGAGCGGUGAAAUGUGUAGAUAUCGGAAGGAACGCCAGCAGCGAAAGCGGCACACUGGGCCUUUUCUGACGCUGAGGCACGAAAGCCAGGGGAGCGAACGGG
This 253-nucleotide ribosomal RNA is filed under the name uncultured bacterium. RNAcentral's name for it is "partial 16S ribosomal RNA". It matches the Rfam family "Bacterial small subunit ribosomal RNA", at positions 524 to 776 of the family's 1533-position model. The record is from RNAcentral.